UAACCUGCCCCCGACUCUGGAAUAACCGUGGGAAACGACGUGCUAAUACCGGAUAUGAGACGCACAGGCAUCUGUGGGUCUGGAAAGAUUUAUCGGUCAGGGAUGGACUCGCGGCCUAUCAGCUUGUUGGUGGGGUAAUGGCCUACCAAGGCGACGACGGGUAGCCGGCCUGAGAGGGCGACCGGCCACACUGGGACUGAGAUACGGCCCAGACUCCUACGGGAGGCAGCAGUGGGGAAUAUUGCACAAUGGGCGCAAGCCUGAUGCAGCGACGCCGCGUGAGGGAUGAAGGCCUUCGGGUUGUAAACCUCUUUCAGCAGGGAAGAAGCGAAAGUGACGGUACCUGCAGAAGAAGCGCCGGCUAACUACGUGCCAGCAGCCGCGGUAAUACGUAGGGCGCAAGCGUUGUCCGGAAUUAUUGGGCGUAAAGAGCUCGUAGGCGGUUUGUCGCGUCUGCUGUGAAAACCUGAGGCUCAACCUCGGGCUUGCAGUGGGUACGGGCAGACUANAGUGCGGUAGGGGUGACUGGAAUUCCUGGUGUAGCGGUGGAAUGCGCAGAUAUCAGGAGGAACACCGAUGGCGAAUGCAGGUCACUGGGCCGCAACUGACGCUGAGGAGCGAAAGCAUGGGGAGCGAACAGGAUUAGAUACCCUGGUAGUUCCAUGCCGUAAACGUUGGGCACUAGGUGUGGGGCUCAUUCCACGAGUUCCGUGCCGCAGCAAACGCAUUAAGUGCCCCCGCCUGGGGAGUACGGCCGCCAAGGCUUAAAACUC
This 773-nucleotide ribosomal RNA is filed under the name Cellulomonas sp. KAR30. RNAcentral describes it as "bacterial SSU rRNA". It matches the Rfam family "Bacterial small subunit ribosomal RNA", at positions 122 to 902 of the family's 1533-position model. Lineage: Bacteria; Bacillati; Actinomycetota; Actinomycetes; Micrococcales; Cellulomonadaceae. The record is from RNAcentral.